CCUACGGGAGGCUGCAGUGGGGAAUAUUGGACAAUGGGGGGAACCCUGAUCCAGCCAUGCCGCGUGUGUGAAGAAGGCCCUCGGGUUGUAAAGCACUUUCAGUGAGGAAGAACGCCUGGUGGUUAAUACCCAUCAGGAAAGACAUCACUCACAGAAGAAGCACCGGCUAACUCCGUGCCAGCAGCCGCGGUAAUACGGAGGGGGCGAGCGUUAAUCGGAAUUACUGGGCGUAAAGCGCGCGUAGGUGGCUUGAUAAGCCGGUUGUGAAAGCCCCGGGCUCAACCUGGGAACGGCAUCCGGAACUGUCAAGCUAGAGUGCAGGAGAGGAAGGUAGAAUUCCCGGUGUAGCGGUGAAAUGCGUAGAGAUCGGGAGGAAUACCAGUGGCGAAGGCGGCCUUCUGGACUGACACUGACACUGAGGUGCGAAAGCGUGGGUAGCAAACAGGAUUAGAUACCCCAGUAGUC
This 465-nucleotide ribosomal RNA is filed under the name Vreelandella stevensii. Its description in RNAcentral is "partial 16S ribosomal RNA". It matches the Rfam family "Bacterial small subunit ribosomal RNA", at positions 338 to 795 of the family's 1533-position model. Lineage: Bacteria; Pseudomonadati; Pseudomonadota; Gammaproteobacteria; Oceanospirillales; Halomonadaceae. The record is from RNAcentral.